GACGAACGCUGGCGGCGUGCUUAACACAUGCAAGUCGAACGCUGAAGACCUGGCUUUUGUUGGGUUGGAUGAGUGGCGAACGGGUGAGUAACACGUGAGUAACCUGCCCUCUUCUUUGGGAUAACGCCCGGAAACGGGUGCUAAUACUGGAUAUUCACUGGCCUUCGCAUGGGGGUUGGUGGAAAGGUUUGUUCUGGUGGGGGAUGGGCUCGCGGCCUAUCAGCUUGUUGGUGGGGUGAUGGCCUACCAAGGCUUUGACGGGUAGCCGGCCUGAGAGGGUGACCGGUCACAUUGGGACUGAGAUACGGCCCAGACUCCUACGGGAGGCAGCAGUGGGGAAUAUUGCACAAUGGGCGAAAGCCUGAUGCAGCGACGCCGCGUGAGGGAUGGAGGCCUGCGGGUUGUAAACCUCUUUCGCUCAUGAUCAAGCCGCAACUGUGGGUUGUGGUGAGGGUAGUGGGUAAAGAAGCGCCGGCUAACUACGUG
RNAcentral lists this ribosomal RNA (486 nucleotides) under uncultured bacterium. Its description in RNAcentral is "partial 16S ribosomal RNA". It matches the Rfam family "Bacterial small subunit ribosomal RNA", at positions 28 to 507 of the family's 1533-position model. The record is from RNAcentral.